CUGCUGCGGAGCGAUCAUGUGGACGUGGCCGUCGAUACCGGCCGCCGUGAGGAUGAGGUGUUCGCCCGAGAUGGCGUCGGUCGCGGCGCUGGUCACCAGAUCGGGAUGCACGCCGUGCAUGAUGUUGGGAUUGCCCGCCUUGCCGAUGCCGGCGAUCAUGCCGUCCUUGAUCCCCACGUCGGCCUUCACCACGCCCAGCACGGCGUCGAUGAUCGUCACGUUGGUAAUCACCAGAUCGAGCGCUCCCUCCUCCGAGGUCAUCGUAUUGGCCAGACCCAUGCCGUCGCG
Molecule: small RNA, 288 nt
Filed under: uncultured Alistipes sp.
Lineage: Bacteria; Pseudomonadati; Bacteroidota; Bacteroidia; Bacteroidales; Rikenellaceae
Description: 5' ureB small RNA
Rfam family: 5' ureB small RNA
Source: RNAcentral